GUAGGGAAAAUUGGAGGGAAUAUUGAAGGCGGGGGCUGGAAUGGAUUUGGAAUUAAAGGUGGCUGGAAUGGAUUUGGAGGAAAUACAAAUGUUUUCUGAUCAUUUGAAAAUUCAUCAUUUUUAGGUCCUGGAGGGAGAAUUGGAAGGUCUGGAAGUUGUGGCAGAGGAGGAAGCCUAGGCAGAAGUGGGAGUGGUGUAAAUUGACCUGGGUUAUCGAUCGGGGGUAUAAUUGAUGCUGGUGGAUCUUGGAGCGGUGGUGGAAACGGAGGAUCAAAAUUUGGAGAAUUAAUUAUCG
This 295-nucleotide long non-coding RNA is filed under the name Panax ginseng (ginseng). Its description in RNAcentral is "long non-coding RNA (PGIN_LNC012883)". The record is from RNAcentral. Lineage: Eukaryota; Viridiplantae; Streptophyta; Magnoliopsida; Apiales; Araliaceae.